This 72-nucleotide transfer RNA is filed under the name Loxodonta africana (African savanna elephant). It matches the Rfam family "tRNA". From Rfam's summary of the family: Transfer RNA (tRNA) molecules are approximately 80 nucleotides in length. Lineage: Eukaryota; Metazoa; Chordata; Mammalia; Proboscidea; Elephantidae. The record is from Rfam by way of RNAcentral.
GCCCUGGUAGCACAGCUGUUAAGUGCUCAGUUGCUAACUGAAAGUUUGGUAGUUCGAACCCACCCAGCGGCU